UCGAGCACCUGGUGCCCGCGGGCGAGAUCGAUCCCGAUCACAUCCACACCCCCGGCAUUUUCGUGCAGCGCAUGAUCGCGGUCGAUCCGAAACUGAAGCGGAUCGAGCAACGCACCCUGCGCAAGCGCGCGUAACUGAUUUCCAGAGGAGAGCCCCAUGGCCUGGACCCGUGAACAGAUGGCAGCGCGCGCCGCGAAGGAACUGCGUGACGGCUAUUACGUCAAUCUCGGCAUCGGAAUUCCGACGCUGGUUUCCAACUAC
RNAcentral lists this unclassified non-coding RNA (261 nucleotides) under Hevea brasiliensis (rubber tree). Lineage: Eukaryota; Viridiplantae; Streptophyta; Magnoliopsida; Malpighiales; Euphorbiaceae. The record is from RNAcentral.